UCUCCAUGAAUUAGAGAAAAUUAAGAAGAAAAGAUUAAUUGAUUACAGAAAAUCAUCCCAAGAUGAUGCUCAUUCUAACUGGUACAAAAGAGAGGAGAAAUGAAAUGCCGCCAAAUUAGGUAAAUGUUGAAAUGUCCCAAAACAAGCAGCUAAAGCAGAAGAAGUGAAAGGAAAGAAGAAACUUCCAUCGUCUACUCUCUCAAGCUAACCAUGUUCUGAGGCAGAAACAAACCUGAGAGCGAAGGGGGAACAAACCUGCAGCUCUUAAAUAAGUCAAAGAAAAGAUUGUGAAGACUCCCACAACAAUAUAGAACAGCAACAAAAAUAACAGG
Molecule: long non-coding RNA, 332 nt
Organism: Camelus dromedarius (Arabian camel)
Lineage: Eukaryota; Metazoa; Chordata; Mammalia; Artiodactyla; Camelidae
Exons: 4
Source: RefSeq, a predicted model, not a curated record